Molecule: non-coding RNA, 81 nt
Organism: Cordylochernes scorpioides
Lineage: Eukaryota; Metazoa; Arthropoda; Arachnida; Pseudoscorpiones; Chernetidae
Source: the annotation of a GenBank genome assembly
UCCCUCGAGCCGGAUUUGACCUAAGGAUCACCGCUUAAUUACAUCUACAGUCCUCCGCUCUGCCAACUGAGCUAUCGAGGG